ACAUGCUGAGCGUUUGUUAAAAAAAUUUCGCAUGGUGAAUCCCCCUGUGCGGAGGGGCAAUCAGCAACCAGGUAUAUGUGAUAAUCGCGGAUUCAGGUGCUGAUACUGAAUUCACCGGGAGGCACCCGGCACCAUGCAAGAAAAAGAAUGUGCAUGCAAACAUGCCCCUCUCCGGAGGGGCUUUUUUAUGGGU
Molecule: non-coding RNA, 193 nt
Organism: Escherichia coli O157:H7 str. EC4115
Lineage: Bacteria; Pseudomonadati; Pseudomonadota; Gammaproteobacteria; Enterobacterales; Enterobacteriaceae
Source: Rfam